UGAGGAAUAUUGGUCAAUGGACGAAAGUCUGAACCAGCCAUGCCGCGUGCAGGAUGACGGCUCUAUGAGUUGUAAACUGCUUUUGUAUGAGGGUAAAGUUGGGUACGUGUACCCAUUUGAAAGUAUCAUACGAAUAAGGAUCGGCUAACUCCGUGCCAGCAGCCGCGGUAAUACGGAGGAUUCAAGCGUUAUCCGGAUUUAUUGGGUUUAAAGGGUGCGUAGGCGGCCUAUUAAGUCAGGGGUGAAAGACGGUAGCUCAACUAUCGCAGUGCCCUUGAUACUGAUGGGCUUGAAUGAACUAGAGGUAGGCGGAAUGUGACAAGUAGCGGUGAAAUGCAUAGAUAUGUCACAGAACACCGAUUGCGAAGGCAGCUUACUAUGGUUUUAUUGACGCUGAGGCACGAAAGCGUGGGGAUCAAACA
RNAcentral lists this ribosomal RNA (422 nucleotides) under uncultured Bacteroidota bacterium. RNAcentral's name for it is "bacterial SSU rRNA". It matches the Rfam family "Bacterial small subunit ribosomal RNA", at positions 355 to 774 of the family's 1533-position model. The record is from RNAcentral. Lineage: Bacteria; Pseudomonadati; Bacteroidota.